Molecule: small nucleolar RNA, 117 nt
Filed under: Nipponia nippon (crested ibis)
Lineage: Eukaryota; Metazoa; Chordata; Aves; Pelecaniformes; Threskiornithidae
Description: Small nucleolar RNA SNORA5
Rfam family: Small nucleolar RNA SNORA5
About the family: ACA5 is a member of the H/ACA class of snoRNA that guide the sites of modification of uridines to pseudouridines.
Source: Rfam by way of RNAcentral
UGCAGCCCCGUCAGAUUUAGUCCCUUCCUCCUCCGUGGCGGGGGCUGGCCAGCCGGCUGCCGCGGCAGCUUCUGUAGUCUGUGGGACCCCGGGGAUAAAAUCACACCCCAGACGUGG